CAUGCAAGUCGAGCGCCCCGCAAGGGGAGCGGCAGACGGGUGAGUAACGCGUGGGAAUCUACCCAUCACUACGGAACAACUCCGGGAAACUGGAGCUAAUACCGUAUACGUCCUUCGGGAGAAAGAUUUAUCGGUGAUGGAUGAGCCCGCGUUGGAUUAGCUAGUUGGUGGGGUAAUGGCCUACCAAGGCGACGAUCCAUAGCUGGUCUGAGAGGAUGAUCAGCCACACUGGGACUGAGACACGGCCCAGACUCCUACGGGAGGCAGCAGUGGGGAAUAUUGGACAAUGGGCGAAAGCCUGAUCCAGCCAUGCCGCGUGAGUGAUGAAGGCCCUAGGGUUGUAAAGCUCUUUCAACGGUGAAGAUAAUGACGGUAACCGUAGAAGAAGCCCCGGCUAACUUCGUGCCAGCAGCCGCGGUAAUACGAAGGGGGCUAGCGUUGUUCGGAAUUACUGGGCGUAAAGCGCACGUAGGCGGAUUGUUUAGUUAGGGGUGAAAUCCCAGGGCUCAACCCUGGAACUGCCUCUAAUACUGGCAAUCUAGAGUCCGAGAGAGGUGAGUGGAAUUCCGAGUGUAGAGGUGAAAUUCGUAGAUAUUCGGAGGAACACCAGUGGCGAANGCGGCUCACUGGCUCGGUACUGACGCUGA
RNAcentral lists this ribosomal RNA (647 nucleotides) under uncultured bacterium. RNAcentral's name for it is "bacterial SSU rRNA". It matches the Rfam family "Bacterial small subunit ribosomal RNA", at positions 54 to 749 of the family's 1533-position model. The record is from RNAcentral.